UGGAAGGUUAAGGGGAUUAGUCAGCGGAUCGUAAGAUUUGCAAAGCUUUGAACCGAAGCCCCAGUAAACGGCGGCCGUAACUAUAACGGUCCUAAGGUAGCGAAAUUCCUUGUGGGGUAAGUUCCCACGCGCACGAAUGGUGUAACAAUCUGGGCGCUGUCUCAACGAGAGACUCGGCGAAAUUGUAGUGGCGGUGAAGAUGCCGCCUACCCGCAUCAAGACGAAAAGACCCCAGAACCUUUACUGUAACCUGCUAUUGGGUUUUGGCCCAAUCUGUGUAGCAUAGGUGGGAGGCUUUGAAGCUUUGGCGCUAGCCGGGGCAGAGCCACAAUGUGAAAUACCACCCUUAUUGUACUAAGAUUCUAACCUUACAUCGUGAAUCCGGUGGAGGGACAUUGGCAGGCGGGCAGUUUGACUGGGGCGGUUCCCUUCUAAAAUGUAACGAAGGGGCCCUAAGGUUGGCUCAAGGCGGUCGGCAAUCGCCUGUGGAGUGUAAGCGCACAAGCCAGCUUAACUGCAAGUCCGGCAGGACGAGCAGAUACGAAAGUAGGGGCUAGUGAUCCGGUGGUUGAAUGUGGAAUCACCAUCGCUCAACGGAUAAUAGGUACUCUGGGGAUAACAGGCUUAUCGCGCUCGAGAGUUCAUAUCGACAGCGCGGUUUGGCACCUCGAUGUCGGCUAAUUAAUAAGGAUUGGCCCUCUAGUGGGUAACCGCUAGAGAAAAUUCGGCUAAUAACGGUGGACUCCGUGGUAUAAUAAUACGGACAAUACCGUGGGAAGUUGAGAAUUUGUGCCAAUGACUAGUCGUCAGGAAGAAAUAAUAAUAGGACUUUUACUUGGAGAUGGGCAUUUAGAAAAAAACGGACGUUAUGUAAGGUUGAAAGUCGAUCAAGCAAUUAAGCAUAAUGACUAUAUCAACUGGUUAUAUAACGAACUGAAAGAUUUAGUGCCCAGCCAGCCAGUAAUCGUAGAGGAAAAUGAUAAACGUACAGAGAAGGUUUAUAGACGAUUACAUUUUUCCACUUAUUCUAUUGCUGAAUUAAAAAAGUGGCGGGAUGAUUUCUAUGUUAAUAAAAAGAAAAUAAUCCCUCCUAAAAUAAGUAGUAUCUUAAAUUCAGCACUUUCUUUGGCGAUAUGGUUAAUGGAUGAUGGUUAUAAAAGAAAUGAUUGCGCAGCAAUCAGGUUAAACACCGACGGGUUUAGUUAUGAAGAACAACAAUUGUUAGUCGGAUGUUUAGGUAAAAAUUUCAGAAUAAAAAGCCAAAUCCAUAAAAAAGGCAAGUGGUAUAAUAUUUAUAUACCAAAAGGCGAAGCCAAUAAGUUUUCUACGCUGGUUAGCCCUUAUAUCUUGCCUAGUUUCAGGCAUAAAGUUCUUUAACCCCGUAACGACUGAUAGCGAAAGCUUGAGAUAGUCUAAUAAUUUUAGAGAUUAUCAGACGCCGAACUCCCAACGAGAGUUGGGAUGGUGGUAUAGUCUAUACCAUUGGUAACAAUGGAUAAAUAUGCAUCCUAUCCUGGGGCUGUAUAAGGUCCCAAGGGUCCGGCUGUUCGCCGGUUAAAAGGGUACGCGAGCUGGGUUCAGAACGUCGUGAGACAGUUAAGCGACCGUUAGCUGUCUAUAAAUCUGGCUAUAUGCUGGAAAAUCCCGUGUAUCUGAAGAUACUGGUAAUCUAGUAAAAAUUCUUCAGUGGGGAUAAUCAGCAGGGAAGAUUCGAUUUUUAUCGAAAACCCUCAGAGACUGUACGCCAGAAUCCGCCGUAGGCGGACAAGAUACAGUCCGAACUGCAUAGCGAUAUGCAGAGACUAGCAGAAAUGUCUGGUCCUCCGCUUAAGGCGGAAGUAACAAUAUUGUCGGUCUCUAUCUGAUGUGGGCGUUAGGAUACUUGAAGAGGAGCUCUCUUCAGUACGAGAGGACCUAGAGAGACGAACCUCUGGUGUUCCGGUUGUCCUGCCAAGGGCAAAGGCCGGGUAGCUAUGUUCGGGAGGGAUAAGCGCUGAAAGCAUCUAAGUGCAAAGCCCCCCUCAAGAAUAGGUAUCCCUUCCGCCGUAAGGCGGAUGAAGGCUGGUCGUAGACCACGACCUUGAUAGGCGCAAUGUGUAAGGUCCGUAAGGAUUUGAGCAAAUGCGUACUAAUAAGCCAAUCGGCUUGGCCUU
Molecule: ribosomal RNA, 2153 nt
Filed under: Candidatus Omnitrophota bacterium
Lineage: Bacteria; Pseudomonadati; Candidatus Omnitrophota
Description: Candidatus Omnitrophica bacterium partial 23S ribosomal RNA
Rfam family: Bacterial large subunit ribosomal RNA
Source: RNAcentral